Molecule: long non-coding RNA, 365 nt
Organism: Manis javanica (Malayan pangolin)
Lineage: Eukaryota; Metazoa; Chordata; Mammalia; Pholidota; Manidae
Source: RefSeq, a predicted model, not a curated record
AGCCGGGAGGCGGUGAACGACCUCUCCUGAGGGAGGGCAUUUAUCUGAGAACCCUGGGAAAUGGAGUCUCUGGGCUGGAGGCGGGCGCCACGGCAUGGGGGGAAAUGUGGAGCCCCCCGCACCGCCCCCAUCUCCCGUCACAAGGGGAAACGGACUCAGCAGCCCGGCGGCCCUGAAAGGAACUGCCAGGCGAUUUUCCAAAGUGGCUGCCCCAUUUCACAUCACCCCCAGCUGUGUGUGAGGGCGCACCUCGACAGAGCAUGGCAGUGAUUGUUGAAGAUUCUCCAGUAAGAGCGAGUUGGUGAUGUCAGUUAACCCAUGAGAGGCUAGCUGUGUGUUAAUAGUAAUAAAAUCAAAGAACUCGG